RNAcentral lists this ribosomal RNA (2988 nucleotides) under Triticum aestivum (bread wheat). RNAcentral describes it as "partial small subunit ribosomal RNA". The record is from RNAcentral. Lineage: Eukaryota; Viridiplantae; Streptophyta; Magnoliopsida; Poales; Poaceae.
AUGAAGCAAAUCAAAAGGAGCCCCAUCACCGUGGAUACAACGCUGCAAGCAGAUGAUGCGGUUCAGUGCGGAAACAUCGCCGUGGGUGCUCGUCGGGCCGGGAGAAUCUUAGAAGUGGUGACAGGGCUGUGUCACUCUGCGGUUAUGUGGUGUGAGGCCCAUGGCAUGUUGGACCGGUUCACUAUAGGGCCUCUGGAUCAGUUUGUAGAGCUUCUGGUAUGUUCACGAUUACGAUCGGAUGGCUCAAAUUCUCACAUCGACGUGGAGGCUCGAAAAAGCAGAUCCUUCCGAUGCGUCCACGAUUAUGAUCGGACGGCUCAAAGUCUCGAAUCGACGUGGAGGUUUGGAAAAGCAAAUGCUUCCGAUACGUUCACCAUUAUGAUCGCACGGCUCAAAGUCUCGAAUCGACACGGAGGCUCGGAGCUGCAUUGCAGGGACGCUGGGUAUGAAUUCAGUUACCCUCAGUCUGCAGACCAGAUGUGCCAGCAACAGCUGAGAGCUCGAUUAUCUCCAGAUGAGCAGCUUGCUGCUGAAGAACAUUCCGCGUUGUACUGCAAGCCAGUUGAGCUCUACAAUAUCAUUCAGCGGCGAGCCAUUAGAAAUUUUACGGUGUACCCGGGAUUUAACAAUUCGCUACCUUUUCUCAUGGCCCUCGACAAAUUUGUCCGCCCAACAGCUCGAAACCACCAUCGUGCCACUCUGGAAUCUGAGAGCGAUGGUGGCCUCAGCCUCCAUUCGAGAUUCUCAGCGGCUUAUGCCCCCUCCCAUCAGAGAAUGACUACGGCCUCCCUAUGUGGCCCUGGGUGGUGCUCCUCGACAAAUCGAGGGUGUGAGGAUUUAGGUAAAGCAUUCUCCGAUAUAUCGAUUCAGUCGGGCUUGUUGGUUACAGGUUUUAGUGAAUUCGGUAAUAAAGGUCGCACCAAAGCUACAUUCAUAAUUCCAGACAUCAAGAAUUUAUCAACCUCCCGAGCUUGCAACCUUAACAUUAUCCUUAUCAGCUGUGUUUUGGAAGGGCAAGUUGGGGAAAAUCUUGGUGAAGAUAACUCCUCUGUGGACCAUGUGGAAGGCUCUGCUCUCCAAAUGUAUAAGGGUUUUCUGCACUUUACCUCACAAGUACAUAUAUUGGCCUUUGGCCCUCAGAGUGAUUAUCCAACAUGUCUCCGGCCACCACCGGCCGUCUCUGGUCGCCCAUCUGCCUCCUCUUCCUCAGCUUCGCUGCAACUCCGCCCCGUCCGGCGGCUGCCCUACCUCGUCCGGCUGCCGCGGCUCCGCCCCGUCGGGCCAUUGUUCCUCUCCAUCCCGUGGCUGUUGCUCCUCCCCAUCCUGCCGCCGCAACACUGCCCUGUCUCGCUGCCGCUCCACCCCGCCUUCCCUGCUCUGCCCUGUCUGGCCGCCGCCCAGUACGGUCGCCGCAGCCUCAGCCCGUCCUGUUCAGCUGCCCAGGUCGGCUUCUCCUGGCCUGGCGACCAGGGCGACUGGGUUGCCUCCCGCCUGGCUCGUACGCCUCCCCGCGUGCCUAGGCCUCUGGCCCCUAUCCCGCCGGUGCCGCCUGUUCUUGCUACUGCUGCUUCCCAGGAUGACCGGGAUGUAGCCAAGGCUCUCGAUGCUGCUGCGGAUGAUGCUUAUGAUCACCAGGUAUCAGCUUAUUCAGAUGCUCUCUUUGUCUACCGUGAUGAUCUGUGUGCUUACACUCAGUGGUGCAAUGAUGAUGCUCGAGCUGCUGCUGUCCUCCCUUCAAGUGUCCUCCCUCAGUUUGCUUCGGAGUUCAUGGGCCUCGACGCUGUUGCAGCGAUAUGUCUGCCAUCUAGUGCCAGCUUGAAUCGCUUCGGUCAGUUGUUUGUGGAGCUUGGGGCUGCUGUCAGACUAUGCGGUCUGAUCUGGAGUUUUAGCGUGUCCGUGAGUUCUUAUCUCGACUUCGCUCUGAGUUUGAGCGUCGACGUGCCCACUUGCUUGCUUGUGGACGUGUUCCUAUCUCGGAGGUGCUUGCUGAACUUCGGGAUGAGGAGACUUGGCUUCGCUCUGCUGGUUUUUCUUGUGGUUCCCUCUGUGUUGGCUGUCGGAGCUCCUGUGUCCUCUGCUCGUCUCACCGCUCCACCGCUCCUGCCCACACCUUCAGGGGGACAUUGUGCAGCUCAGGCGUCUUUUGACUCCCUCAGGAUCUUUGUUGAUUGGUUCUGCCGCUAUUCCCGCUUUUCUGCAAAGAUGCCUUCAUUACAAGAUACAUGCAAGCCGAAAAAAGAGGUACACACUUUGACUCUACUGCAGAACAUGCUGACACUCAGAAUUGUUGUGAUCCAAAUCCGAUAUGUCGAGAAAAAGAAAGGACUGUCCUGUUUCAAAACAGAAAAAUUCGUCAGCCCAACAGCUCGAAACCACCACCGUCCCGCUCUGGAAUCUGAGAGCGAUGGUGGCCUCAGGCUUCGCUCGAGAUUCUCAGUGGCUUGUGCCUCCUCCUACCGGAGAAUGAUUGCGGCCUGCCGCUGUGGCCCUGGGUGGUGCUCCUCCAUAGACCAAGGGGGUGAGGAUUCAGAUAACGGGCAAGUUGGGGAAAAUCUUGGUGAAAAUAACUGCUCUGUGGACCAUGUGGAAGGCUCUGCUCUCCAAAAGCUUGAAGGGAAAUGUUUCUGGGGUAAAAUACCAAUUGAUCUACUUGGUUCAUCUUUGGAGAACUGUGUAACUUUAAAUUUGGGACAUACAGUGGAGUUGGCUUCUGCAGUUAGUAUGAGCCCAAAUUUCUUAGAGCCGAAAUUUAUGGAGGAGGACAGUUGCUUGACAUUUUGCUUUCAUAAGGUUGAUGCUACGGGUUCAUAUCAACUCCAAGUAGGCAUAUCUGCUCAAGAAGCUGGUGCAAAAGACAUGUCUGAAUCUCCAUAUAAUGGCCACUGUUCUGCAGUCAGCGCAGCUGAGCUUGCUGCUUGCUUGAGAGCUAGUAAUGUGCUUUUCAACUUCAAGUACUACAUCAAUACUAUGCAAAAGACUGAAGGUUAA